This 508-nucleotide ribosomal RNA is filed under the name uncultured bacterium. Its description in RNAcentral is "partial 16S ribosomal RNA". It matches the Rfam family "Bacterial small subunit ribosomal RNA", at positions 28 to 507 of the family's 1533-position model. The record is from RNAcentral.
GACGAACGCUGGCGGCGUGCUUAACACAUGCAAGUCGAACGGGCCUUGUCCCCUUUUUUUUUGGGGGUGGGGUUAGUGGCGAACGGGUGAGUAACACGUGAGUAACCUGCCCCUCACUUCUGGAUAACCGCUUGAAAGGGUGGCUAAUACGGGGUGUUCUGGCCUGCUCGCAUGGGUGGGUUUGGAAAGAUUCGACCGGUUUUGGUUGUUUUGGUGGGGGAUGGGCUCGCGGCCUAUCAGCUUGUUGGUGGGGUGAUGGCCUGCCAAGGCUUUGACGGGUAGCCGGCCUGAGAGGGUGGGCGGUCACACUGGGACUGAGACACGGCCCAGACUCCUGCGGGAGGCAGCAGUGGGGAAUAUUGCACAAUGGGCGCAAGCCUGAUGCAGCGACGCCGCGUGAGGGAUGGAGGCCUUCGGGUUGGGAACCUCUUUCGCCAGUGAAGAAGGUCCUGCUCUUUGUGGUGGGGUUGACGGUAGCUGGGUUAAUGAAGCGCCGGCUAACUACGUG